RNAcentral lists this unclassified non-coding RNA (200 nucleotides) under Ripartites sp. RNAcentral describes it as "partial internal transcribed spacer 2". The record is from RNAcentral. Lineage: Eukaryota; Fungi; Basidiomycota; Agaricomycetes; Agaricales; Paralepistaceae.
UUAAGUUCAGCGGGUAGUCCUACCUGAUUUGAGGUCAAAAUGUCAGAAAUUGUCCAAGUUAAUGGACGGUUAGAAGCUGAGCCCUAUAUAAAGCUUCACAACCAAUGGCGUAGAUAAUUAUCACACCAAUAGCUAUUCCACAAAGGUUCUGCUAAUACAUUUAAGGAGAGCCGACCUCUUACGAAGCCCGCAACCCCCAU